UCCGGCGUCGUCUAAGGGCAGGACGGGGGACUUUGAAUCCCCUAAUCGUGGUUCGAAUCCACGCGCCGGAACCA
Molecule: transfer RNA, 74 nt
Filed under: Polyangiaceae bacterium
Lineage: Bacteria; Pseudomonadati; Myxococcota; Polyangiales; Polyangiaceae
Description: tRNA-Gln
Rfam family: tRNA
About the family: Transfer RNA (tRNA) molecules are approximately 80 nucleotides in length. Their secondary structure includes four short double-helical elements and three loops (D, anti-codon, and T loops).
Source: RNAcentral